Long non-coding RNA from Zingiber officinale, 4501 nucleotides. RefSeq lists it as uncharacterized. The record is from RefSeq and is a predicted model, not a curated record. The transcript is spliced from 5 exons. Lineage: Eukaryota; Viridiplantae; Streptophyta; Magnoliopsida; Zingiberales; Zingiberaceae.
UAUUAAUUAAUUUAUAUUUUGAUAUUUUAUAUUUAAAAUUAAUAAAUCUAAUAAAUCUUAUUAAUCCGAGGAAUCCGCCUAGCGGCGCCUAAUUCCCGCCUAGGCGGCCUAGGCGCUAGGCGCUGGUCUAGCGCCCGAUUAGCGCUUAGCGAAUUUUAGAACCUUGUAUACAAAUUACUUAUAAAAGGCUGAUUUCAACUCUUUUGAUGGGAUCCCCAAUAUGGAGUCGCCCUAGGGUUCCAAGGCAAACUGAGAAGCUGUUCUGAAGAGGAUUCGACGCCAUCUAGGCGUGGAAGGGGGAUCAGUAGCAUUCGUAGAAGAAAUUUCGCAUCGAACCUAAACUCUUCUUCUCUAUAUUUUAAUUUUUGAAUUUCUGAUUUCUGAGCUAUAUCUGAAUUUGUCACCGUCUGAUCAUGAUUUGUGGUUGUAAUUCCAUUUGUAUGGAGUAGAUUCUUAGGACUAGGGAUUAACCCUUUGUUAUGUGAACAUUUCUGAUUUGAUCUAUGAAUGAAUUUUUGUUCUUAUUCAAUAAUGUAUUGAUUUGUGGUCCGGAUUUACUGUGUAAACACGAUCUUGCUUGUUGCUAAAAGUAAGAGAUUCAUAUUUUACGAGGAUUUGGGGAUGAACUAAAAGGAGAACCUAAUUCUUCGACCCGUAGAAAACCGAGACAUGGAGAGUCGAUUACAAAAGUAGAUCGGUAUUCCGCGAGUAGUAAUGAACUAUCAUUGAUCUUAAUGGAUCAAUUCCAAUUCAACACCACAAAAGUAGAAGGGUUAAUUGGGGUUUAUGGGAUCUCGUGACAGGGUCUCCUUGGAAAGCGAACCCUAGUUUAACCGCUCUGAAAGUAGACGAUGAAUUGGGAUUGAUAUGCUGAUGUAGUUUUAAAAGUUUACAUUGGAUACAUAGGAUAGUCUACCUAAAUAAAUCAACAUUGAGGAUAGGAAACCAAACGUAUAUCAAAUGUUUGUUAACAUUAUGGUGAAACCGAAAUCCUAGAAUUGCUUUCAUCCACUGAAUUUUCUAUGGUAUUUCUGUCUUCUCUCUUUGAUCACCUUCUUUCUGUGAUCUUUCUGCCUUCUGAUUUUGAUCACUUUGUCUUCCUUCUGUGAUCACUCUACCUUCUUUUUAUGAUUUCUCUGCUUCUCACCUUGAUCAUUUUGCUUUCCUUCUGUGAUCUUACUGCCUUCUCUUUGAUUUCUCUUUGUCUAAUUGAUCAAAUCUAUUUUCUUAUUUUGUUCUUACCGUUCCAUUGAGUUUUCUAGUUCUUGACACCCAAAACCUGAGAUUAGUCUAGACAGUUAAAUCUGCUUGGUAAGCUAGUACUCAACUACCAGUCCUUGUGGUUUGAUAUCUUUUUAUUAUUUGACAAUAUUUCUGUGUACUUGUGGAUUUGCACACAUCAAUGGUUCAAGAUCAGUUGACCGCUAGUGAUAGGUUUGUGAUAGUCUGACAGAAAGUUUUGUAGUUGACUAACACAAUCAAUUGGAGUCCACAUACGAAGCACAAAAUGUUCAAGAAUCGACUGAGGUAGUCGAUUGGAUACAUAGUAGGCGACUGAUGAAUGAAAGAGGGGUAUAAUGGGAAUUAUGUAUGUGUUUUGGUAAAUAUGAAACUUGGGUACGUAGUUUGAGUAUCAGGGAAAGUUGGCUACAUGGUUCAGUAAAUUGCCAUUUUUUUAUUUUGUUUCGUUGGUUUGUCCACACGGAUCACUUUUUGUCCUUUUAUUGUCACUUUAUGACUAUCAGAUUGCAAGAGAGGUUUAAGAUGCCUUUGCUUGUAUAAUUCGACCUGGAAUUACAACAGAUGAAAUUGAUGACGUAGUUCAUCAGGCAACAAUUGCUGCUGGUAGUGUCUCUUUUUGCAUGAAAUGAACAGAUGGUUUAGGUUCACUACUUCAUUGUAUUAUUAGCAAAUUGUUCAAUAUUGUUUCAGGAAUUCUUAGGCAUGGUCUUAUUGAUUAGCUUUCCUUUUGUUCCAUGCAUAUUCACUUAUUGCCAAGUGUAUGCACCUAUUCUGUGCACAUAUGAGUGCCCAUAUUUGGAAGGAAGCAAAGCAGGACAAAUCAAGACAAUUGAUUUCUUAUUGUACUGUAAAUUUAAGAUAGUGUUACUUUACAAGCUAAGUCUAUGAAGUCAAACCCAAUGAUUACGUUUUCUGUUAUUGUCUCUCAUGUCAUUCCCCAAAUAUAUGAUUGAAGAGUUGUUUUAUAAGUCCAAUUGUUGAUUCCCAUCUAGGUUGCUGCAUCUGUGACAUUUAUGCAAAUUGAGGUCACAUUGAAUUCUUGUAAUUGUUGUGUAUUCUAGUUAUUCACUUAAUCCUAUAAAUUCUUCUUAAUCCUAUAAAUUCUUUAUGCUUCUUGCUCGCAAAGGUAUACUUGCUCAAUUAUGUUUAAAAUGGUAUUAAUAUAACAUGGUUUUUAACUCCUUUUAUUCUUUUCUAGGAGGGUAUCCGACUAUCCGUCCCCAUUGAAUUAUCAUUUUUUUCCCAAAAUCUUUCUGCACGUAGGUUGUUUUUCCAAUACACCGUAUAUCAGUAUGUUUCUAAAAUGUCUUUGUUGAACUGUAACAUUUUGAAAAUGAUCUGUUAAUGAAGUCAUCUGCCAUGGGUGCAAUCUUCUGACAAUUGUUUCACUUAAUCAUUUGAUUUCCACAUGUAGCUUUGUUUAACUUCUUCAUGAGAUGAAUCUUAUAAAACAUCUAUCAUUUAUUUUCUAUAGUUCAAGAAAUUCUUGAAACAUUUGAUGUGGGACUAACUUAUAAUUUAUUAAUAUCCACAAGCUAGAUUAUAUAAUGUAGCGCUUCCUUCAGUGAUGAUGCAAUGGCAAGAUGAUUUGCAUGCUGAAAUAUGCACGGAUAUUUGUUUGCAUUGUUGUCUCUCAAUGAUGACCUUUUCUAUUUUCUUAUUUAUUUUUGUCGCUUGGUGUUUAAAGUAAUAGUUUCAGUAGUUAAAAUAUAAUUGUCAGGAAAUACAAGACAUAGGCUUUAAAGCCAAAAUAAGAUGCCCUUGGUGGUUUGAUCUGUCCUGUAGUAGAACAACCAGCAUAACAUACCAGAGUCCUAACACACUGCAAAAACAGAAAAGAUACAGAAACACACAAGUACUUAUAUAGAAACCUCAAGAUGGGAGAGAAAACCACUAGCGAGGAUGAAGAAAAAGAUCAGAUGUACAGAAGUUACAUACAUUAUGAGCAUACAAUGCAGAACACAAAGGCCUCACUGUUACCUUAUAGAUCAUAUUGAUAUCUGGAUGUACCACUCUACUUUUUGUUCCAUUCAGGCUAGAUGCUGCAGAAAACACAAUUGCACUACCUCAAAUUAUAAAGGGCAAUUGCGUCAAACAUCACAUGAGUUGAGCAGAGGCACUGUAUAUUUUGUUAGCAUAAAAUCCAUGUUGAUAUGCUUUGAUCUCCUCGAUCUUAGGGUUCUCAAGUCAGCAAACUAGAUUAAGUAUCCAACUGUAUCAGUUCAAUCCAAAUCUGACAUGCUAGAUCCAAAUGGUUGGUUCCUGGCAGGUAUGCUCCUAAAUCCUUUUAUCCAUAGCUUGGCAUAGAUUUUGGCUCAGCAUUUCUAAUCAUUGUGGCAUUUAAAUAUAUAAUCGUAGGGCAGAUUUGAAUCACACUUAACAAUAGUCCUCUUUUAGAUGAGUAAUUUGAUGAAUGCCACACCUGUUAGGUGAGACUAGGAAUAUUGGACUGUGUCAAGCAUUUGAUUUGGAAAUUCUCUGAGCUCAGUUGUUUGAUCUUUGUUACUAAGGGUGGUUCUUAUUGACUCCUAAAUUUGAUGCAAGUAACACUGAUGUUUAGAUAGAGAUUACAUUCUUCCAAGAUGAGUUGAUUGGAGAAUGUGUAAUCCAGUAAUGUUUGUUCGCUUUACUACGUCCUAAAGAGAAAGGCCUUUUUUUUGGUGCAUGAAGUGGUGUAUAUAUUUUUUUAUCUCAUACAAUUUGAACCACACAUGAUUCUCAGUUGUCAUUCUACAGGAGUCUCGAGGAUGGUGACAUUGUCAAUGUUGAUGUAAGUGUAUAUUAAAAAGGUGUCCAUGGUGAUCUAAGUAAGACUUUCUUGUUGGAGAAGUGGAUGAAGCUUCUCGGUAUCUUGUCCGCUGCACCUAUGAAUGUUUGGAGAAAGCCAUUUCUAUAGUUAAACCUGGCAUUCAUUUCCGUGAUGUUGAAGUUAUUAAUCGUCAUGCAACAAUGUCUGGGCUAGCAGUGGUGAAAUCAUAUUGUGGACAUGGUAUUAGAAGUUGUUUCAGUGUGCUCCGAGUAUUCCUCAUUAUGGGAAAAACAAGGCUGUUGGUAUCAUGAAAGCUGGGUAGACAUUUACAAUUGAAUCUAUGAUCAAUGCAGGCCAUUUUUUUGGAUUUGAUUAGUAUUUCUGUCUUUAUAGUCACCAUUUAUUUAUAUUGUUCAAGCGUUUUUAUCUUGAGGAAUCUGGCGUGAUCGGUUAUGGCCAGAUGGAUGGACUGCUCUUUGACUGGCAUAAAUCUAACCUUGGAUGCUGCUC